CUAAUACAUGCAAGUCGUACGCACUGGCCCAACUGAUUGAUGGUGCUUGCACCUGAUUGACGUUGGAUCACCAGUGAGUGGCGGACGGGUGAGUAACACGUAGGUAACCUGCCCCGGAGCGGGGGAUAACAUUUGGAAACAGAUGCUAAUACCGCAUAACAACAAAAGCCACAUGGCUUUUGUUUUGAAAGAUGGCUUUUGGCUAUCACUCUGGGAUGGACCUGCGGUGCAUUAGCUAGUUGGUAAGGUAACGGCUUACCAAGGCGAUGAUGCAUAGCCGAGUUGAGAGACUGAUCGGCCACAAUGGAACUGAGACACGGUCCAUACUCCUACGGGAGGCAGCAGUAGGGAAUCUUCCACAAUGGGCGCAAGCCUGAUGGAGCAACACCGCGUGAGUGAAGAAGGGUUUUCGGAUUGUAAACUUCUGUUCUCGUUGACGAAGACAGUGACGGUAAACGAGGAGCAAGCCACGGCUAACUACGUGCCAGCAGCCGCGGUAA
This 500-nucleotide ribosomal RNA is filed under the name uncultured bacterium. RNAcentral describes it as "bacterial SSU rRNA". It matches the Rfam family "Bacterial small subunit ribosomal RNA", at positions 48 to 523 of the family's 1533-position model. The record is from RNAcentral.